Molecule: ribosomal RNA, 738 nt
Filed under: uncultured bacterium
Lineage: Bacteria
Description: bacterial SSU rRNA
Rfam family: Bacterial small subunit ribosomal RNA
Source: RNAcentral
UCUACCAUGCAGUCGACGGAGGUUACUUUGAAACGCAAGUCGAUAAAUAACCUUAGUGGCGGACGGGUGAGUAACGCGUGGAUAACCUGCCUGACUGACCGGGACAACACUUGGAAACGGGUGCUAAUACCGGAUACGCUCAUAAAGACACAAGUCUUAAUGAGGAAAGGGGAAACCCGCAGACAGAUGGGUCCGCGUCCCAUUAGCUAGUUGGAGGUGUAAUGGACCCCCAAGGCGACGAUGGGUAGCCGGCCUGAGAGGGUGAACGGCCACACUGGAACUGAGACACGGUCCAGACUCCUACGGGAGGCAGCAGUGGGGAAUCUUCCGCAAUGGGCGAAAGCCUGACGGAGCAACGCCGCGUGAGUGAAGAAUGCCUUCGGGUUGUAAAACUCUGUCUUCAGGGAAGAAACAAAUGACGGUACCUGAGGAGGAAGCCCCGGCUAACUACGUGCCAGCAGCCGCGGUAAAACGUAGGGGGCGAGCGUUGUCCGGAAUUACUGGGCGUAAAGGGCGCGUAGGCGGUUAUCCAAGUCAGGGGUGAAAACUCUGGGCUCAACUCAGAGCCUGCCUCUGAAACUGGGUGACUUGAGGGCAGGAGAGGGGAGUGGAAUUCCCAGUGUAGCGGUGAAAUGCGUAGAUAUUGGGAGGAACACCAGUGGCGAAGGCGGCUCUCUGGCCUAACCCUGACGCUGAGGCGCGAAAGCGUGGGGAUCAAACAGGAUUAGAUACCCUGGU